RNAcentral lists this transfer RNA (73 nucleotides) under Methanobrevibacter millerae. Its description in RNAcentral is "tRNA_Ala_TGC". It matches the Rfam family "tRNA". From Rfam's summary of the family: Transfer RNA (tRNA) molecules are approximately 80 nucleotides in length. Their secondary structure includes four short double-helical elements and three loops (D, anti-codon, and T loops). The record is from RNAcentral. Lineage: Archaea; Methanobacteriati; Methanobacteriota; Methanobacteria; Methanobacteriales; Methanobacteriaceae.
GGCCCUGUAAUUCAAUUGGUAGAAUGCCUCUCUUGCAAGGAGGAUGCUUCGGGUUCAAAUCCCGGCAGGUCCA